UCGAUCGUUUCACUCGUUCUACUGGGUCUUGCCCUGGUUCUGGGUAUUAUUCUUACCGAAAACACAAGCACAACACAAGCUUUCGUACGAAGCAAGAGCUACAAUCCGUCGCGUUUCAAAGAAUCGUGGAAUCGCAGUUCUGGCCCUGGUAAUCGCAAAUCGAUGCCACCAAACAAUUUGACCCGAAACGAAAAUGAAAAUGAAGGCGAAGCGAGCUGUCGUCUAUCGGGAAGGACUUGUACUGAGGACGAGCAGUGCUGCAGCAGUAUAUGCCUACACUUCAAGCGUUGCUCUAAAACUUCUGCGUUUUAGGUUCUUGUUUUCCAUACGGCACUUAAACAGAUAAAUAAAUAUAUUGUGCGCUCUUCCAAAA
Long non-coding RNA from Drosophila persimilis, 373 nucleotides. RefSeq lists it as uncharacterized. The transcript is spliced from 2 exons. The record is from RefSeq and is a predicted model, not a curated record. Lineage: Eukaryota; Metazoa; Arthropoda; Insecta; Diptera; Drosophilidae.